This is a long non-coding RNA of Xenia sp. Carnegie-2017, 844 nucleotides long. RefSeq lists it as uncharacterized. The record is from RefSeq and is a predicted model, not a curated record. Lineage: Eukaryota; Metazoa; Cnidaria; Anthozoa; Malacalcyonacea; Xeniidae. The transcript has 2 exons.
UCGCUUGAAGUUACCAUAACAGUGCAUUGUGAAUUGUUGUCUAUCGAAAUGGCGAUUCAUCAUAUCAGUAGCUUCUUUAUUGGUUGAUGAUGCUCCUUACUUCGUGUAUGGAAUGGUAUCGACAUGUUGAAUGGACAUCGCAUAACGGCAUAUGUACGUAUGAACAUUUACAUUGAAGUGAUUGCACUAUAAAAAUGGACUACAUUCUACGAAGAUGGAAAACAAGCAAGUGGAUAAACACGAUCUAUAUCUUGUGGUUUGUAAGUUGAGUAGAUAUAAGUGUUAAAAUUAACUUGUAUGAGUAACUGCAUGAGAUAGUUAAAAAGGAUCCUGAUGGUCUAUCUUUAUAAUUUGAAACUUAACCAUGAAAAACACCCAACUUAAAAAUAGUGUCAAUAAAAGAUGUCACUUGCUGUGAGAAAAUAGCUGGCUUUCACUCGCUACUUUUUAGUAAUUUAAUUUAACGUUUAUUAAGAAAAUUGCAAUGAUGCAAGUAGGGUUCAUUGAAUUACUAAGAUAAAAAUUUUACAAUUAAUUUCAACAAUACAACGUAAAAACUACGCGGUGAAAAAAAGGAAGAGACCGACCAAGUCGCCUGGAUCAAACUGACCAGGACAACCCUUGGAAAUCAGAGUAGCUAUGUCUGUAGGCCUUCUAACUGGACAAUGAAUGAACGACGAAGUCGGGCAGAAACACCAGGAAACAAGCGUCGUUAUUAUAAGAUGCACACUUGCUAAUUUAUUUAUCCAUAAUGUCUAUCAGUAUAACGUAUUUUCAAAUUUGACCGUUAAAAAUUUCCGAAUAACUAAAUGUUCACAAUUAUUUAAUUUUCUGACAAAACACA